AUUGAACGCUGGCGGCAUGCCUUACACAUGCAAGUCGAACGGUAACGGGCCUUCGGGUGCCGACGAGUGGCGAACGGGUGAGUAAUGCAUCGGAACGUACCUUUCAGUGGGGGAUAACGUAGCGAAAGUUACGCUAAUACCGCAUAUUCUGUGAGCAGGAAAGCAGGGGAUCGCAAGACCUUGCGCUGAUUGAGCGGCCGAUGUCAGAUUAGCUAGUUGGUGAGGUAAAGGCUCACCAAGGCGACGAUCUGUAGCGGGUCUGAGAGGAUGAUCCGCCACACUGGAACUGAGACACGGUCCAGACUCCUACGGGAGGCAGCAGUGGGGAAUUUUGGACAAUGGGGGGCAACCCUGAUCCAGCCAUGCCGCGUGAGUGAAGAAGGCCUCGGGUUGU
This 394-nucleotide ribosomal RNA is filed under the name uncultured bacterium. Its description in RNAcentral is "bacterial SSU rRNA". It matches the Rfam family "Bacterial small subunit ribosomal RNA", at positions 30 to 426 of the family's 1533-position model. The record is from RNAcentral.